GCUCCAGGACGCUGAGAGAUGUGGUUUCCUUGUGGUUUCUAUACAGGUGGUGCAUGGUUGUCGUCAGCUCGUGUCGUGAGAUGUUGGGUUAAGUCCCGCAACGAGCGCAACCCUUGUCUUAUGUUGCCAGCACGUUAUGGUGGGGACUCGUGAGAGACUGCCGGGGUCAACUCGGAGGAAGGUGGGGAUGACGUCAAAUCAUCAUGCCCCUUAUGUCCAGGGCUUCACACAUGCUACAAUGGCCGGUACAGAGGGCUGCGAUGCCGUGAGGUGGAGCGAAUCCCUUAAAGCUGGUCUCAGUUCGGAUUGGGGUCUGCAACUCGACCCCAUGAAGUCGGAGUCGCUAGUAAUCGCAGAUCAGCAACGCUGCGGUGAAUACGUUCCCGGGCCUUGUAACACACCGA
RNAcentral lists this ribosomal RNA (404 nucleotides) under uncultured Mycobacteriales bacterium. RNAcentral describes it as "bacterial SSU rRNA". It matches the Rfam family "Bacterial small subunit ribosomal RNA", at positions 990 to 1393 of the family's 1533-position model. The record is from RNAcentral. Lineage: Bacteria; Bacillati; Actinomycetota; Actinomycetes; Mycobacteriales.